GUGGGUCUUUAUCCCCCGGCUCAUCCCGAUAUUCCCUUUUUUCCUCCUCGCAGGGCUGCGGGCGGCCGUGACCCUGGUGGAGUCCGGGGGCACCUCAAGGCCCCGGGGGAGUCCCUGCGGCUCCUCUGCCGCGCCUCCGGCUUCACCUUCGGCGACCACCCCAUGGAGUGGGUGCGCCAGAGCCCCGGGAAGGGGCUGGAAUGGGUCGCUGGGACCAACGAAGGUGGCACUUACGCCAGCUACGCGCCGUCGGUGCGGGGCCGGUUCAGCAUCCCCAGGGACAACGGGCAGAGCUCG
This is a non-coding RNA of Neopelma chrysocephalum (saffron-crested tyrant-manakin), 297 nucleotides long. Lineage: Eukaryota; Metazoa; Chordata; Aves; Passeriformes; Pipridae. The record is from the annotation of a RefSeq genome assembly.